Gopherus agassizii (Agassiz's desert tortoise) is the source of this 2002-nucleotide long non-coding RNA. The record is from Ensembl. NCBI's taxonomy places the organism in Eukaryota, Metazoa, Chordata, Testudines, Testudinidae.
CAUUGACAUGUUUCUGCAGCAAGGUGAAGUCACCCGUAUUUCUCUCUCUCUGCAGCUGUUGACCUGCUGGUGAUUCAAAGCCCUGCCUUUGUCAAGGAAGAGGAAGGGAAACCGUUGACCAUAGCAUGUAGAUUCAGGGCCCUGGAGAAACCCAGCGCCAAGUACUCUGUUAAAUGGUAUAAAAACAGGACUGAUGGACUCGAGAAGGAGCUGAAAAACAAAGCAGGCUCAGUCACAACAACUCUAGAUUUCUCAACGGGCCUGGCUUCUCUGAACUUGACUAAAGCCAGCAUGAAUGAUUCUGGGUUCUACAGAUGUGACUUCGGUAAAAAUGGCCGUGGGAAAGGAACGAGAGUGAUGAUUCAUGCUGUUGACCUGCUGGUGAAUCAGAUGCCUGCCGUAAUGAACGGAUUGGAAGGAGACAAGCUCACUAUAGAGUGUAGAUUCAAGGUGGUGAAAGACCCAAGCACCACAUCCAGUGUUACGUGGUAUAAGACGGGGGCUGAUGGACACAAGAAAGAGCUGAAGAACAGAACAGGCAUUGUCACAACAGCUCUAGAUUCCUCAAAAGGCCUGGCCUCUCUCACCUUGAUCAAAAUCAAUAGAAAUGACUCCGGGCUCUACAGAUGUGACUUUGGUAAAAAUGGUGGUGGAAAUGGAACCAGAGUGACCAUCCAUGCACAUGACCAAAAGCUGAUGAGCUCUUACAUUGUUCCUGGGACUGUGGCUGGGACACUUCUCCUCUUGCUGGUGCUUGGUAUCCUUUUGUGGAGAUGCAGACAGUGCUCCAAAGAACCACUUCAAAGCAGGUCAGAGGCAGAGAUGAAUCAGAUGGAGAUGCGUUCUCCUCCACCAGCUGAUGAGGUGACUUACGUUGACUUGAACUUCCACAAAAGGGACGCAAAAGCGGAGGAAGAGGUUGUUUACACAGAAGUGAAGAUACGGCCAAAACAGAGAGAUGACGAUGACAUCUAUGCAAAAGUCAAACCUAGUCAGCGCUAGGGGAAGAGCUAGUGGGAAUUAACAGAGGGGUGACCAGCAUUUCACAUGUCCAUUAAAUGCAAGACUCCAUGAAACAACGAAUUAGCUCUUAGUAAAAGAUGUCCUUGGAGAUCAAAGUCCUCUAGUUAUGAACAGAACAGGUAGCAAUGCAAGAUUCUCAUUUCCUGCUCCACCAACAUGUCUCAACUCCGAUCUGGAGAGACCAAUUCUGUGGGUAAACGGAGAGUUCUGCUACCCCAUCUAUGCUUGGUCUAUGUGCUGCAAUUGUAGCCAGGAAAUGAGUUGUGCUGUGGACAGUAGUUCACUAGGAACUGAGUCGAGACCAGAAAUUCAUUUAACAAACUCAUCAGCCAUCAGAUUGUAGCAAUUUUUAGUUGCUAUUUACCAGCACUGUAUUUGAACAGUGACCAAGAGCCAAGCCCUGGAGCCACCCAAGUAUGGAAAAUGUUGCCAUCUUGUUGUGGGAAGCGCUGUUCUCCACUGAAGAUGCCAACUGUGCUGAACAAGGAAGGAAAAGCCUCCGAAGAGCCAUGCUCCCUACCCUGGAAGAUUUACAAUAAUGCUGUUAAUGCUCAAGAGUGAUUUCUCAUACUUUCAUGAAUGAAAGUGACAUGAUUGUUUAAUCUUUCUAAGCACAAAGCAGGCUUCUCUGUUGGGAGGGAAUUAAGUGGAUGGAAUCCAGGGAAACUUAAGAGCCCAACAACAACAAUAUGAAUUGCUUUAUUAACUAAAGCUUUUACAGCAAGUUUAGCCCAGGGAUUGAGUGUGUGCGAUUGCUCUGAUUUAAAUGGAGUUGUACCUACUUACACCAGGAAUGGAUUUGUCCCCUUGUGUCUGUGAGACUUUACUGUAAAUUUAAAAAGGAAUUGUGUAAUUUAAAAAAAAGCCAUCAUUUCUAGUGGUUCAAGUAGAUUGUGCUUUUAGAUAAAUAAUAAUUUUAGAUAACCCCCCAGAAAAAAACAACCCAAAGGGACAGUUGGGCUCCCAAAAAUGGAAAGAC